CCCGCACAAGCGGUGGAGCAUGUGGUUUAAUUCGACGCAACGCGCAGAACCUUACCAGCCCUUGACAUCCCGGUCGCGGACUCCAGAGAUGGAGUUCUUCAGUUCGGCUGGACCGGAGACAGGUGCUGCAUGGCUGUCGUCAGCUCGUGUCGUGAGAUGUUGGGUUAAGUCCCGCAACGAGCGCAACCCCCGUCCUUAGUUGCUACCAUUUAGUUGAGCACUCUAGGGAGACUGCCGGUGAUAAGCCGCGAGGAAGGUGGGGAUGACGUCAAGUCCUCAUGGCCCUUACGGGCUGGGCUACACACGUGCUACAAUGGCGGUGACAAUGGGACGCUAAGGGGCAACCCUUCGCAAAUCUCAAAAAGCCGUCUCAGUUCGGAUUGGGCUCUGCAACUCGAGCCCAUGAAGUUGGAAUCGCUAGUAAUCGUGGAUCAGCACGCCACGGUGAAUACGUUCCCGGGCCUU
This 465-nucleotide ribosomal RNA is filed under the name uncultured Bradyrhizobium sp. RNAcentral describes it as "bacterial SSU rRNA". It matches the Rfam family "Bacterial small subunit ribosomal RNA", at positions 920 to 1382 of the family's 1533-position model. The record is from RNAcentral. Lineage: Bacteria; Pseudomonadati; Pseudomonadota; Alphaproteobacteria; Hyphomicrobiales; Nitrobacteraceae.